GCUGGAAGAUCUGAAGACAGAAAACACAGUUCAGUCUGAUCAACUUUCUUUGAUGGAGUCCAGACUGACAGACGGACACAACAACACCACCGUUUUCUCUUUAGAGCUGGAGGUCAGACUGAGUGACAGUG
Molecule: long non-coding RNA, 131 nt
Organism: Perca fluviatilis (European perch)
Lineage: Eukaryota; Metazoa; Chordata; Actinopteri; Perciformes; Percidae
Exons: 3
Source: RefSeq, a predicted model, not a curated record